RNAcentral lists this ribosomal RNA (253 nucleotides) under uncultured bacterium. RNAcentral describes it as "partial 16S ribosomal RNA". It matches the Rfam family "Bacterial small subunit ribosomal RNA", at positions 524 to 776 of the family's 1533-position model. The record is from RNAcentral.
AACGUAGGGGACAAGCGUUAUCCGGAUUUACUGGGCGUAAAGCGCCCGUAGGCGGCUUGAUAAGUUGGACGUGAAAGCUCCCGGCUUAACUGGGAGAGGCCGUUCAAAACUGCCAAGCUAGAGUGAGGAAGAGGAGAGCAGAAUUCCCGGUGUAGUGGUGGAAUGCGUAGAGAUCGGGAGGAAUACCAGUGGCGAAAGCGGCUCUCUGGUCCUAAACUGACGCUGAGGGGCGAAAGCGUGGGGAGCAAACAGG